UGGGGGAUAUUGCACAAUGGGCGAAAGCCUGAUGCAGCGACGCCGCGUGGGGGAUGAAGGCUUUCGGGUUGUAAACCUCUUUCGCUAUCGAACAAGGCCCGCUUAGGGUGGGUUGAGGGUAGGUGGAGAAGAAGCGCCGGCUAACUACGUGCCAGCAGCCGCGGUAAUACGUAGGGCGCGAGCGUUGUCCGGUAUUAUUGGGCGUAAGGGGCUUGUAGGCGGCUUGUUGCGCCUGCUGUGAAAACGCGGGGCUUAACUUCGCGCGUGCAGUGGGUACGGGCAGGCUUGAGUGUGGGAGGGGUGACGGGAAUUCCAGGUGUAGCGGUGGAAUGCGCAGAUAUCUGGAGGAACACCGAUGGCGAAGGGAGGUCACUGGGCCAUUACUGACGCUGAGGAGCGAAAGCAUGGGUAGCGAACAGG
This 420-nucleotide ribosomal RNA is filed under the name bacterium. RNAcentral describes it as "partial 16S ribosomal RNA". It matches the Rfam family "Bacterial small subunit ribosomal RNA", at positions 355 to 776 of the family's 1533-position model. The record is from RNAcentral.